UACGAAGGGGGCUAGCGUUGUUCGGAUUUACUGGGCGUAAAGCGCACGUAGGCGGUUUGUUAAGUCAGGGGUGAAAUCCCGGAGCUCAACUCCGGAACUGCCUUUGAUACUGGCAAGCUAGAGCCCGGAAGAGGUAAGUGGAACUCCUAGUGUAGAGGUGGAAUUCGUAGAUAUUAGGAAGAACACCAGUGGCGAAGGCGGCUUACUGGUCCGGAACUGACGCUGAGGUGCGAAAGCGUGGGGAGCAAACAGG
This 253-nucleotide ribosomal RNA is filed under the name uncultured bacterium. Its description in RNAcentral is "partial 16S ribosomal RNA". It matches the Rfam family "Bacterial small subunit ribosomal RNA", at positions 524 to 776 of the family's 1533-position model. The record is from RNAcentral.